Molecule: ribosomal RNA, 405 nt
Filed under: bacterium
Lineage: Bacteria
Description: partial 16S ribosomal RNA
Rfam family: Bacterial small subunit ribosomal RNA
Source: RNAcentral
UGGGGAAUCUUGCCCAAUGGGCGAAAGCCUGAGGCAGCAACGCCGCGUGUGGGAUGAAGGCCCUUGGGUUGUAAACCACUUUCAGCAGGGACGAAGAUGACGGUACCUGCAGAAGAAGCCUCGGCCAACUACGUGCCAGCAGCCGCGGUAAGACGUAGGGGGCAAGCGUUGUCCGGAUUUAUUGGGCGUAAAGAGCUCGUAGGCGGCUCAGAAAGUCGUGUGGGAACCCUCCAGGCUCAACCUGGAGACGCCACCUGAUACUGCUGUGGCUAGAGUCCGGUAGGGGAGCACGGAAUUCCCGGUGUAGCGGUGAAAUGCUUAGAAAUCGGGAGGAACACCAGUGGCGAAGGCGGUGCUCUGGGCCGGAACUGACGCUGAGGAGCGAAAGCGUGGGUAGCAAACAGG